UGGCGAUGAGGAGAUACCCACUAUGUGAAAAUUACAGUGAUAGUUUUGUACGCUAUUCUGAGCCAGCA
Small nucleolar RNA from Nycticebus coucang (slow loris), 68 nucleotides. RefSeq annotates it as small nucleolar RNA U54. NCBI's taxonomy places the organism in Eukaryota, Metazoa, Chordata, Mammalia, Primates, Lorisidae. The transcript has a single exon. The record is from RefSeq and is a predicted model, not a curated record.